UCACCUGGGGAUCUUGCUCAAAUGCAGAUUCUGGUCCAGUAGAUCUAGGAUAGGGCUCAACAUUCUGCAUCUCUAACAAGUUCACAGGUGAUGUCAC
Molecule: microRNA precursor, 97 nt
Filed under: Myotis lucifugus (little brown bat)
Lineage: Eukaryota; Metazoa; Chordata; Mammalia; Chiroptera; Vespertilionidae
Description: miRNA (ENSMLUG00000021493.1)
Source: RNAcentral